AGCUGAUCCAAAGGUAGUGAGUUAUCUCAAUUAAUUGUUCACAGUCACAGUCAGUUACAGAUCGAACUGCUUGUUCUACUCUUUCCCCCUUUCUCACUACUGCACUUGACUGGUUUUUA
RNAcentral lists this Y RNA (119 nucleotides) under Propithecus coquereli (Coquerel's sifaka). RNAcentral's name for it is "Y RNA (ENSPCOG00000000513.1)". It matches the Rfam family "Y RNA". Rfam says of the family: Y RNAs are components of the Ro ribonucleoprotein particle (Ro RNP), in association with Ro60 and La proteins. The Y RNAs and Ro60 and La proteins are well conserved, but the function of the Ro RNP is not known. In humans the RNA component can be one of four small RNAs -- hY1, hY3, hY4 and hY5. The record is from Rfam by way of RNAcentral. Lineage: Eukaryota; Metazoa; Chordata; Mammalia; Primates; Indriidae.